This 327-nucleotide ribosomal RNA is filed under the name uncultured eukaryote. RNAcentral describes it as "partial 18S ribosomal RNA". It matches the Rfam family "Eukaryotic small subunit ribosomal RNA", at positions 1470 to 1796 of the family's 1831-position model. The record is from RNAcentral.
CCCUUAGAUGUUCUGGGCCGCACACGCGCUACACUGAAGGAGGCAGCGUGUACUCCUGGAUCGAAAGAUUUUGGUAACCCGCGAAUCUCCUUCGUGCUAGGGAUUGAGGUUUGCAAUUAUCCUUCAUGAACGAGGAAUUCCCAGUAAGUGCAAGUCAUAAGCUUGCGCUGACUACGUCCCUGCCCUUUGUACACACCGCCCGUCGCUACUACCGAUUGAAUGAUUUAGUGAGGACUUCGGACUGGGACCGAUGCGGCUUUCGGGCUGCGUCGGUAUUCUGGAAAGAUGUCCAAACUGUAUCAUUUAGAGGAAGUAAAAGUCGUAACA